GAAGUAAAUAUCAAGCAAGUAGUCCAAAUUAAAUGGAAUAGAAUAUUUAAGAGGCAAAAUGUGGAAUCCUAAAACCUAAAACAUUAAAUAUUGGUUUUGGAUUAAAAGAUGGUUUUGUCUUAAGAUUUUGGGUUACAUAUGGUCUUCUUAAUGAAUGUGGUUCCCUCAAAGCCUUGCAAAUAAAAUGUCCUAGAUGUGGCAAAGGUAAGGGCAUACCUCUAGAAUGAGAACCAUAGUUU
RNAcentral lists this unclassified non-coding RNA (239 nucleotides) under Hevea brasiliensis (rubber tree). Lineage: Eukaryota; Viridiplantae; Streptophyta; Magnoliopsida; Malpighiales; Euphorbiaceae. The record is from RNAcentral.